UCUCUGUGGUAACCUUAGGAGAGCCAGGC
RNAcentral lists this non-coding RNA (29 nucleotides) under Rattus norvegicus (Norway rat). Lineage: Eukaryota; Metazoa; Chordata; Mammalia; Rodentia; Muridae. The record is from RNAcentral.